This 252-nucleotide ribosomal RNA is filed under the name uncultured bacterium. RNAcentral's name for it is "partial 16S ribosomal RNA". It matches the Rfam family "Bacterial small subunit ribosomal RNA", at positions 524 to 776 of the family's 1533-position model. The record is from RNAcentral.
UACGGAGGAUGCGAGCGUUAUCCGGAUUUAUCGGGUUUAGAGGGUGCGUAGGCGGACUGUCAAGUCAGCGGUAAAAUUGAGAGGCUCAACCUCUUCCCGCCGUUGAAACUGGUGGUCUUGAGUGGAUGAGAAGUACGCGGAAUGCGUGGUGUAGCGGUGAAAUGCAUAGAUAUCACGCAGAACUCCGAUUGCGAAGGCAGCGUACCGGCAUCCAACUGACGCUGAGGCACGAAAGCGUGGGGAUCAAACAGG